UACGUAGGGCGCAAGCGUUAUCCGGAAUUAUUGGGCGUAAAGAGUUCGUAGGCGGUUUGUCGCGUCUGCCGUGAAAGUCCGGGGCUCAACUCCGGAUCUGCGGUGGGUACGGGCAGACUAGAGUGAUGUAGGGGAGACUGGAAUUCCUGGUGUAGCAGUGAAAUGCGUAGAUAUCAAGAGGAACACCAGUGGCGAAGGCGAGUCCCUGGACAAAUCCUGACACUGAGGCACGAAAGCUAGGGGAGCAAACAGG
Molecule: ribosomal RNA, 253 nt
Filed under: uncultured bacterium
Lineage: Bacteria
Description: partial 16S ribosomal RNA
Rfam family: Bacterial small subunit ribosomal RNA
Source: RNAcentral